This 650-nucleotide ribosomal RNA is filed under the name uncultured marine bacterium. RNAcentral's name for it is "bacterial SSU rRNA". It matches the Rfam family "Bacterial small subunit ribosomal RNA", at positions 81 to 727 of the family's 1533-position model. The record is from RNAcentral.
CUCCCCGCUGUCGAGCGGCGGACGGGUGAGUAAUGCAUAGGAAUUUGCCCAGUAGUGGGGGAUAGCCCGGGGAAACCCGGAUUAAUACCGCAUACGCCCUACGGGGGAAAGCAGGGGAUCUUCGGACCUUGCGCUAUUGGAUGAGCCUAUGUCGGAUUAGCUAGUUGGUGGGGUAAAGGCCUACCAAGGCGACGAUCCGUAGCUGGUUUGAGAGGAUGAUCAGCCACAUCGGGACUGAGACACGGCCCGAACUCCUACGGGAGGCAGCAGUGGGGAAUAUUGGACAAUGGGGGCAACCCUGAUCCAGCCAUGCCGCGUGUGUGAAGAAGGCUUUCGGGUUGUAAAGCACUUUCAGUGAGGAGGAAAACCUUACGAUUAAUACUCGUGAGGCUUGACGUUACUCACAGAAGAAGCACCGGCUAACUCCGUGCCAGCAGCCGCGGUAAUACGGAGGGUGCAAGCGUUAAUCGGAAUUACUGGGCGUAAAGCGCGCGUAGGUGGUUUGGUAAGCGAGAUGUGAAAGCCCCGGGCUUAACCUGGGAACGGCAUUUCGAACUGCCAGGCUAGAGUAUGGUAGAGGGUAGUGGAAUUUCCUGUGUAGCGGUGAAAUGCGUAGAUAUAGGAAGGAACACCAGUGGCGAAGGCGGCUA